This 3863-nucleotide long non-coding RNA is filed under the name Marmota monax (woodchuck). Lineage: Eukaryota; Metazoa; Chordata; Mammalia; Rodentia; Sciuridae. The record is from RNAcentral.
GCCUGCCUCAGUCCCCCUUUUGCCUAGCCGUGGAGACCUCCCUUCUUGGGAUGCUUGGGGAACUCAGCCGCUCUCCGGAGGCUGGCAGAAUCUCUGGGGUUUGAGACCAGCUGCUGAUGGGAUGAAUCAUCAUCACGCCUUGGAGCCGAGCCUGGGCGCUCCAGACCUCCAGGGCCACCAGCUGUUGGGUUCAUCGCAGGGGACCGUCACAUGGGUGUGAUGUGUCUUUGUGUGUUUGCGUGCAGGUUCAAGAAGACGUGGAAGCCACAGGCCCUGAAAGAGUGCAAGACGGGCGUGCACCCGCCGUAUUCCCUGGGGCAGUCCAAGCCCACCAUUGUGCUGGCUCCCCUCCUUUCCCCACCUGUGUCCCCCAGCAGCCUCGGCUCAGACAGCACCUCGAGCCACAGCCGACCAGAUGCCAGGGACUCGCGGAGCCCUUACGACAUCAGCAACAGAGACUACUUCUUCGCCAGAUAGCUGUCUGGGUGGCCCCUGGCAGCGGGGUGACAGAGGUGCUGAAUUGUGUGGGUGACGCAGCCCACGCUGGCUCUGGAAAGACGCUUCUCACUGCCAUUCCAGCUCAUCUCAGGGGCGUGGGGCAUUUGGCUUCACGGUGACGGAAGAGCCUGCAGAAGGUUCUAGACUGGUGGAAAUCGGCUUGCUACACCUGUUCUGAAGGAAGAGCUGGUUGAGCUUUCAAACCGCUCUUCCCAAGCGCUCUGCUUCGGGGGGUCUCAGCGACUCAGGACACUGUGAAGAGAGCCGCGCCAAGACUCGAUGGGACCGAGGGUGUGGAGGAGCUGCCGGGCACCCCCACACCCGGACUCAUCUCUGCCAGCCGAACCCUCAGGCAGGGGCAGGGGCUUCCAGGAGGCCUGCCGUGGUGGCUGGCUCCUGCCCCUGCCCAGUCGCACCUUGUCCCUCCGACUCUGGAAACCCAAGUGCCUUUGCCAUUCUGUUUCCUGGACUGAGGAUGGCUUUGUGCAAACCACUGAGGCUGGGGAGGGAGCUCUUUCCUGCCUUCCCCCCACACUUGAAAAGCAGCUGGUGUGUGAGUGUGAGUGUGAGUGUGUGUGCAGGGGGUGGUGAAUAAGUCUCAGGGCCGAUGGUUUAAGUGGAAUCAUAAUCAGCUCCUCACGAGUGUUGUGCUCAAUGUGAAUGAUAACCCUAGGCUUUUGCUGGCUACAGAAGCAGCUGCGCCAACUUUGUCCCCCUGUUGGGGUCUCAGGGCUUGAGGACAGAAGCAGAGAGGAAGGAGGGGAGUAGGGACAGGGUCUUCAAGGUCCCCUGUUGUAGCUGAGGGGGACCCCAGCCUCUGGAAACCAGUUUCCUCUCCCCCCUGCCAGUGCUGGGAGCCAAGUCAGUUGACUUCAUCUUGGUUGGUUGGGGUGCCGACCGGACCUGAGUGAUCAGUGUAGACGGUGUCGGUGUGAAAGGAAAAACGAAUCCGCAAGAAUGUGCUUCGUGUUUUUGAAAACCUGCUCUUUUCUCUUGAGGUGCUGGGAGCCUCAGUCUUCUCUGGAUUUCGGUUUAUAAAUAACUUGGGGCGGGGCACGAUGAUUCUGUUUAGCACCAAAGCAAGUCCACUCAAAAAAGGAGGAGGAGGAGAAGAAGUUUCCCUUAUGGAGAAGAGAUUCUGGUUUCAUUCUGUAUUUUGUUUUUGUCUUGCAAACCGUAAAAAUAGUCUCUGCCUCUUCUCUGAAUUGGGGAAAAAGUCACUUGUGACUGUCCCCCUGCCCCUCCCCUAGGUGGUUAGGAAAGAAAGGGUGUCCCCCUUCCUGUUGUGAUGCCGCCCACGAGUACCCGGCAGGGUCCUAGAAAGUCCCCACUGAGACUCAGAAGGGAGGUUCAUUUUUUUAAAAAUAUAAAUCCCUUACCUGGGUUUCUUCCUCUUUUUGUUUUGUUCCUUGAACUGGAUUCGGCUCAGCUCCCAUGGAAGCAGCCGAUGGGUGUCCAGCUGUGACACCCGUAACCACCAGCUCACUUUCCUGUCGGGGCUUUGAGAACUCAGUGAUGUUAGUGUCACCCAGACAGGUGACCACAGAGGAGAGCGGUGAUUAAAACGAGCUGUGGAGCCACAGACCCUGAAUUUACCAGACCACAAGGCUUUUCUAGAAGUUUACCCUUUUAGAAAAACACCACCGCCACCAGACACGUGGCGAAGGGUGGAAGCCCCCAUGUGUUCGCCAAGCGCCGGGUUCUGGGCGUCACUGUCUCGAGCCCUGGUGGCUCUCACAUCCUGCCGUCUUAGGCGGGUGGUCCACGGGGUUGACAAGAGUCAAGCAGGUGUUCAUGGCUCUCCUUUCCCCCCGCUCUGUCAGGUUUCUGAAUCACAAAAAUGCUGUGAAAGGAAAUGUUAGAAUGAGGAUCUGCAUGAGAGAGUGCGACUCUGCCCACGGCUCUUUAACUCUCACACAGUUCUGCCCACAGCCAGGCAGGGCCGCUGGUGGGGGACGUGAGAUCCAGAGAGUUCAUCGUCUCUGAGAGCGAGGCAGCUUUGAUCUCCAAAUUGUUAUUGCUUUCACUAUUAUUGUACCGGAACUGCCUUUUCUUUUGGGGGGAGGCGGUAUCACAGAGGGUUCCCCCCUUUACUUGUUGUAAGCUAGUGCCAGUGGAGGAAAGGCUGGCCUCUCUGGGCUCAGAGUCUGCUUCGUGGCCAGGCCCCUGCCUUAGGCUUUCUGUGUCUGAAUGGUUCCUGGACACGUGUCUCUGUCCACUAGUCCCAUGGAUCACUCUUCCUUAGGUCCCUGCAGUCCACAGGCUGCCUUGGAUCCUCAACAGGGCCGACACUACCUACGGCCUGCGCCCUCAGCCACAUAGCCAGAUGUUGAAGUGUGUGGACAGGGACCAUUGAAGGAGGAGGGAUGCACGAAUUUAGAAGCCCAUCUUGUUGGGUGGGCCCAGUCGAAAAUAUGCUGGACCCAGGUCUAACCUAAAGUGAUCAUCAGUUCUUGUAGCAUUAAUGACAUGUUUUUAAAAAAACAUUGGAUGUGUGUCGUACAAGGUCUUUGGGGGACUCCGCGGUUUGCUCUGAUGGGGUCUCCCCCUGGCCGUUUGUUUGCCGGACCCUGAACUCACACUGGGCCUCCACCACUUCCCCGCUGUCUCAGGAGCAAGGCGUGGGCUCCGUUGUGGGAACUGGUUUGGGAGCCCCGUGGUCCUGAGUAGAGCCCAGCGGGCAGCCUGGGGCUGGCCAUGGCUUGUGAGUCUCUUGAAGAUUGUUCCGGAAUGUCUUGCCCAGCUGCUCCGGCGCUGUCUGUUCCCAUUGCAGGUCCUUAACAUUGACCCACUUGGGAAGGUGUCCCACCCCCAGUUCCAGGUGGAGAUGGUGACAAAUCUGUCCUCAUUUGGAGACGGGAGCCACCAACGGUCCUUCUCCAAACAGCAACCUGCAAUGGGGCUGUGGCCAGAAGGCUCCAGCAGCUGCCUCCGGCUUUGGGCCAGGCACUCCCAGGCGUCCCCUAAAAGUCCUUCCAGCCUCUGUCCCUAGUGUGGCUGGGCGCCAGCUCCAGGGAGUUCCCAUGGCAACCUUGAUGAUCGUUAAGGAACAUUGUCAGUUUUCUGAACAUGUGCUCAGAUGGAGAUCUGCUUUGGAAGGGAAGGACUGGGACAGCGAGAGACCUCGCUGGAGGAGCCCACGCCUGCUGACCACGAUACCUCAGCUCUGCAUCGCUUUUGGAGAGAAAUAGAUCAUCGUUUUAAGGGACUUCCCUCUUAAUUACCUGAAAACCAAUACCAAAGGCUGAUGUCAGUGUAUUUUGAUUUUUCAACGCUUUUUUCCUUUUAUCGCUAUUUUGCACUUAAAGUGAACAUGGUAAAUGUUUGAAAUAAAUAAUUUCUAAAAAAAGACACUUGAGAUGUCA